Long non-coding RNA from Cucumis melo (muskmelon), 965 nucleotides. RefSeq lists it as uncharacterized. The record is from RefSeq and is a predicted model, not a curated record. NCBI's taxonomy places the organism in Eukaryota, Viridiplantae, Streptophyta, Magnoliopsida, Cucurbitales, Cucurbitaceae. The transcript is spliced from 2 exons.
UUCUCUAAAAUUUGCUCUCUCAACCCCCUCCCCUCUUUUCUCGUUCACUCUCUCGUUGAUGUUCAAUCUACCUCCUCAUUGUGCGUUGUAGCUCUCUUUUCCCAAAACCCAUAAACCCAAUAUGUCCUCAUCCGAAAAAUACAAUCCCUCCGAUGACAACCCACUUCAUCUAUCGUCUCAUGCCCACGUCUAAAGCAACAUCAGAGUUGAAGCCUCCGUUCGUGUUUGGUAGAAGCUACAUUGACGUUGAUGUCAUCAAAGUCGUUAAAACCAACAUUAAAGUUGCUUUUGGGUUCUCGUCUAAUGUCGUCGUUUGCAUUCGACCUUGCCCAAUCUUUUCUGCCUCCGAAUUUGGGUCUUCCACGACCAAAUCUAGUUUGUGUCCAAUACCAUUUGGUUCUUCCUUCACCAGAUCAUUUCAAUCACCACCUAAAUAAGUCAUUCAUCGGUAGAUUUUUUCGUUGUACAUCUCACCGGUUGUUGUACAUCUCAACACGACGUUGUAGAUCUCAUCAAGUAGCUCCUUGCUUGUCCACUAUUUGUGCUACUAAUUAUUCUCCACCUUUGUUGUCGCACAAAUCCGUUCGCUAUCUUACAUAUUCCUCAUUGGUGUCGGAAAAAGUCCGGAGAACACCGAAAGCAAAUUGGAGGCAUAUAUGACAAAAAAUUUCAAGCUUGGAAAGGUAAUUUCAUCAUCAAUAAGCCAUAUUCAAGAAGGGUAAAUAUAAGUUUUCUUCAUUUCUUUUCUCAAUAACUUUUAUUAGGUCCAUAUUUGUGUGUGAACUCAGUAUGGAUUUAUUUUAGGAAAAAGGAAAUUUUUGGUGUUGUAGACGAACAAAAAUUGAAUGGAGCAACUGUGGAUUUUAUGAACAACAAGAGAAUAGGUGUUAUAAAUUGGGUUGAAAUUUAAGUUUGUUACAUUUGGUUAUAAAUGUGAGAAUAAAUGAAUUUUUGAGUUAAAGGUU